GCAAAUACAAGAAAAUCAUUCUUUGUAUGCGGACAAAUAAUGUAAUAUGUUGGUUGGUUCUGCGAUAAGGCAUGAAUUCAAAGCCUUGAAAACUUACAAAAUCAUUUAGGUACAGGACUUUUCCAAUGGAUACCAAAGAAAUCAGUUCACUCAUCAAAUGGAAACAAAAAAGACAAAAACCGCACGCUUAUUAACUCCAGUCCAUUAU
Molecule: unclassified non-coding RNA, 208 nt
Filed under: Hevea brasiliensis (rubber tree)
Lineage: Eukaryota; Viridiplantae; Streptophyta; Magnoliopsida; Malpighiales; Euphorbiaceae
Source: RNAcentral